This 83-nucleotide small RNA is filed under the name Pseudomonas chlororaphis. Lineage: Bacteria; Pseudomonadati; Pseudomonadota; Gammaproteobacteria; Pseudomonadales; Pseudomonadaceae. The record is from RNAcentral.
GUCGCUGCAAAUUCAGCGACCGGGUUUGGCGACCCGAGAUACUUGGCGCACAGGCGCCCCAACCGACAGCAGGCGCUUUUUUU